AGCCGCCCAGUGAGACAAGAAAACUCCAGUCCGAGCUCGCCAAAUGUAUCGCUCUUCUUCCCCCCACCCCUCGUCGGAAGAUUUCUUCCGCGCCUCCAGAUCUCCGACUCCGAUGCCGCCCCGCCCCGCCAUGCCCUGCCCCCUCUCCAUUUUCCUCCCCUUCUCAGCGCUCUCCAUUCCAAACUCCAGCUGUGGCCGGUCGAACCAUGGUCGUUCGGACCGUCGUGACGGCGCCCUUGGUGGUCACACCGCCCCUGCUGAUUCGACGGCAACGGGAGCUAUACAUCGUGGUGACCGUCCUGUCCCUGCUGAUUGGACGGCCACCGGUGCCAUGUCGCGGUUACCGAGCCGGCCCUUGCUGAUUCGACGGCCGCCACGCCAGAUCUACACGUCGUCGUACCCCCAGUCCCCCAAGUGGUUCAAAACAACUUGGUUGCCUGUUUCGGAGUAAGAAGACAAUGAAAUACUACUCAUACACUAUUACACAUCUAAAGAUAUCUACAUACUGCAAGAAGAAACAAUUAUCUCAUCGAGGGAUCUAGAAGCAGCAGUAGAAAUAGCAUUGAGCUUCCAUGAAGCUGCAGUCUGCUCCUGCAUAUGACAGUUCAAGAGAAGGAACCAUGGGAUGCAGGGACAUAGUCUAUGAUAUUCACAUAUUCAGAGAAACUUUCAGCUUAGUUGCCUUGGUGAGUUACUUAAAACCUGAUGUUCAUGUUUGUGCAUAAUUGAUUUACAGAUUAUUUCGUCAUGCACAGAAACCUUUGCACUCACUCAAGUAUUCAUUGAGAAUGCUUUGAGAAUUAGCAUAUGUGGUUGCUCAUAUUCAUUUUAUAUUCUGGUUUACCAGCAUCUUCUGAUGAUUAUUGGUUUGUCAACUAGGUGGUAGGUCCUCAUAACUCGUCCAAUAUAUUUCGUUACAAUUUGCAAGUAAACACCGUCAUGUUUUUUCUAGUUAUACAUCCUUGUUUGUGAGUGUUCCCUUAAUCGUUAGUCCAUAUGGACCACAUUAUUCUGGUUGCUCGUAUUCAUUUUGUAUUAUGGUUUACCAGCAUCUUCUGGUGAUUAUUGGUUUCUCAACUAGGUGGCAGGUCCUCAUUUUUUAUCACCUAGGGGAACUUGUCCAAUAUGUUUCGUUACAAUUUGCAUGUAAACACCGUCAUGUUUUUAUGGUUAUACAUCCUUGUUUGUGAGCGCUUCCUUAAUUGUUAGUCCAUAUAGACCACAUUAUUGAAAGUGAAACUGUCUAGUAUAGUCUUUUUGCUUAUAUCAAACUUCUCUAAUUUACAUGUAUGCCAUCAAAAUUAUAGCAGAUUAUUCAUGCCUUAUAUGAAUGUGCUAAGCUGCUUGUCACCACUAUUUUCUGGAAAAUGUUGACUCUUCAGAUGUUCUUAACCAACAGCCUGAUGCGAAUGCUCAAGGGAUGUUUGGGGUUUUUUCUGGUGAAAUUGGCACAGACUUGGUGAGCUUAUCACUACUUCUACGCAGCCAACCACUACCUUGAUGUCCCGGGACUAUUGAGCAGUUUUCAUGCUUGUAGAUUUUUUUUUAUGUAAAAACUCUAGCUGAUACUUGGUCAGACCUAUGGCAUAUUGUACAUGCUGAUUGAGUUCUGCUAGCCGUAACAAAUCUAGCUAGCCAAUAUUUUGACAAACAUGCAAUUCCUAUGUACAAUUCUAACUUGCAUGUGCGAUUAAUAUUAACAGGUAUUUCAGGUAUGAAAUAAUGUUUGCUGAGCUA
Molecule: long non-coding RNA, 1737 nt
Organism: Lolium perenne
Lineage: Eukaryota; Viridiplantae; Streptophyta; Magnoliopsida; Poales; Poaceae
Source: RefSeq, a predicted model, not a curated record